UGGAAAAUCCACUAAUUUUUUUUCCUUCCGAAUAUAAGAAACACUGAAAAGAAGAGGUCUUUGUGCGAGGCAGUUCUCCCCCUUGUCAUUUCUCUGGCUUGUCUGAGUGUGGGAGUGGAAUGGAUCUGUACAAAGCAGAGGACGAAUUGGCUUCUUUAACCAGAACCAGAGGCAGCGCACCUGGCCGGGCGCCCGAAGCAUCACCAGGCUCCUGUGAAAGGCCUGCCCCUCCGGAUUUCCAGCAAGUUCAUCGCCGUGACGUGGAGACUGCACUGGCCACUGGCCCUGCUUGCUGUCCACCCAGCUCGGUGCUGGGUCGGCAGGACCGCCUUGUGUACCGGAGAGUAGCUCAGGACGGCUCUGCCAGCCGUCCAGACGAACGAGGCGCAUCGCGUUCUCUUCCCAACUGGACACAGAGGAGGGGAGGGAAGUGUUUGUGGCAGAGAGAAGUGCUCCGAGGCUCCCUGACCUGCAAAGCUCCCGAAGAGCGAAGAGUGCAAGCUGUCUGCUAGGUGCUGCCAGGAGGUUGGGUCUGCAUUUCGAGUGAGUCAUCUGAAAUUCAGGACUUCCCUGUAAAUGUUUUAUAAUUCAUUUCAUUAAAUAGCUUUUUCCUUGCAUUAAAGGCAUUUACAUCACAUGCAGUGGGAGCAGCAGAGAGCAUGUAGGAUACAGGGACGUGCUCUGUGGGGUUCGAGUGACCUUUCAAGAGACAGUGCAGCAAGGACAGGAGGUGGCGGGAAGGCCGGCCCUGACCCCAUGGCCCGAGGCGAGGGGUGCAGACCCCUGGGGAGAGUGCGGGCUCCCCAGAGCGGGCAGGCUGGGCUCCAGGCGGGGUAUGUCGUGUGAAGUACCCGGGGUUUGCCUGCAGCCCGCAGCUGGGACAGAGGAGCACGUCGAUGGAGCACUGACCAAGAAAAGAGGGCCAACAGCUGGAGGCCACAGCCCAGGACCCUGCCCCGCUCCUUGAGCCUGCAGUCACCCCACAGCGCACACCCACGAGCCCUGAGGGCACCUGGGGUCACUGCAGACAAACCUGCCCAAGGGGACAGGCCGGACUGCAGGGGCCUGGGGGCUGGUCAUCCAGCUCCCGGGUGGUGUCCUUCCCACCCUCCCAAACCCUGUCAGCACAGAGAACGGGUGAGUCAGGGGUGCCAGGGACCCAAGGGAGCCCCUGUGCAGGGGAGCAGAAGAAAACGCCCACAGACGCCACGCCGGGGCGUCACGGGGCCUGGAACCUGCAGAGCUGGGAGAAACGACGUUAUCCCUCAUCUGCGGAUAAGGAAACAGGUUCACAGAGUCUGGGUGCAGAUCAAGGCAAGUCUGCAACUGGACACAAGACAGGACCCUACUCACCCCUCCUGUGACCCAGGGGCGGACAGCACCUGCAACAUCACAGGCUUCUCGGUCAUUGUCUGUGAGGGAGCAAGUGAAGUGAGCCAAGGGCUUAGAGAGCGCUGAGGAUGGGGACACUGCCCCUGAGAGCUCUUUGCAGGACUGGCAGUGGCAAGGCGCGGAGCAGCCCCUGCCAGCCCUGAGCUUGCUGAGGUCCGUCUCGUUUGUUUUCUCAGCUGCGUGACAGACUACGUUUAGCAGCCCUGUUCUGUGCAGCAAGCUUUAGACAGAAAUAAACAGGAUGGACACGGAGAGGACA
RNAcentral lists this long non-coding RNA (1651 nucleotides) under Bos indicus x Bos taurus (hybrid cattle). RNAcentral's name for it is "lncRNA (ENSBIXG00000017655.1)". Lineage: Eukaryota; Metazoa; Chordata; Mammalia; Artiodactyla; Bovidae. The record is from RNAcentral.